This 67-nucleotide transfer RNA is filed under the name Aneurinibacillus migulanus. RNAcentral describes it as "partial Tyr tRNA". It matches the Rfam family "tRNA", at positions 8 to 63 of the family's 71-position model. Rfam says of the family: Transfer RNA (tRNA) molecules are approximately 80 nucleotides in length. Lineage: Bacteria; Bacillati; Bacillota; Bacilli; Caryophanales; Paenibacillaceae. The record is from RNAcentral.
UAGCGAAGUGGCUAAACGCGGCGGACUGUAAAUCCGCUCCCUCAGGGUUCGGCGGUUCGAAUCCGUC